This is a non-coding RNA of Vicia faba (fava bean), 225 nucleotides long. NCBI's taxonomy places the organism in Eukaryota, Viridiplantae, Streptophyta, Magnoliopsida, Fabales, Fabaceae. The record is from the annotation of a GenBank genome assembly.
AUGUAUGUUUAUGAACACAACAAAAUAUUAAAAUAUAAACUUAGUCCACAGCACGUCCUUCAAGGAAACAAAAUAGAAGAAUUGAACGUGCUUCUUGCAACGAAGCAGAGAGUUCUACGCCAUGACCAUGUGAGAUAUGUCUCGUUUUUUGAGCUUCAGAUUCAUAUAGUCAGAUACUCAUCACCUUCUUCUCUCUUCCUCUCUGUAUCCAGAUGUUAUGCUUGA